GUGUUCACAUCACAGCACAGGUACUAAAACUAGAAUGAUACUGAGAUUAGCGUGGUGCCUGCCAAGGAUGAUGUGCAAAUUCAUGAAGCAUUCCAUAUUUUU
Small nuclear RNA from Neogale vison (American mink), 102 nucleotides. The record is from Ensembl. NCBI's taxonomy places the organism in Eukaryota, Metazoa, Chordata, Mammalia, Carnivora, Mustelidae.